UGAUCGUUUUUGAGUUCUUCUCUGCUGCUGGUGUUUUUGGGCAGAAUUGUGAACUUAUGAGUUUUCUUGAUGCUAGCUUUGGAGAAAGUUGGAUUUUGGACCAGAGGAUGAUCCUCCAGUAUAUUUCUCUAGUUUUGGGACCUACCUUCAUCGGAUUUGAACAUCAGAAGGUAAUUUUGAAAUUGAAAUUGGGAUGAAAUUAGCUUAAGUGCUGAAAUUGUUGAUGUAUUGAUGGUUUUUGGUGGAUUUGUAUGUGUAGACCGUUGAGUAGUGUAGUUGCUAGUUCUGAGGGUGUUCGGCUGAGACUUCCAGCAUUUUCGAGACUUUGUGCUGCAGUAGGGUUGUGCUUGAGGUGGGUUAAUCAUCGGAUUCUUCUCCUAAUAGUAUGAAUAGUCAACAGGUGUAGGUGUCAGCCUUUGCUUAUCAUGUUUUAGCUCGAAUUCAUCGAUUGCCUGUUAAACAAAAUCUGAAUUUGGAGCAUACUAUAGUAAGUUAUCUCAUACAUGUUGGACUUGGAUUUGACUUAGGAGAAAACUAGCGAUUCUACCUCGUCAUAUGUUAAAACUAUUAUAUUUAGCUCUAGGAGCCGUAGCUUGAUUGUAUUACCGCGGUUUGUGGGCGGUGGAUAUUCUGGAUAGUGUAGAUUAUGUUUACGCUCGGGCUGAGAUGCCGAGCUUAUUUUUAUAGCAGGGUUUAGACUGUUCCGGACCGUCGGGUGCCGUUGAGGUUGACGGUGGACCCAGAUUGCUGUUGUUGCAUCAGAUUGUG
Molecule: long non-coding RNA, 768 nt
Filed under: Ananas comosus (pineapple)
Lineage: Eukaryota; Viridiplantae; Streptophyta; Magnoliopsida; Poales; Bromeliaceae
Description: long non-coding RNA (ACOM_LNC044048)
Source: RNAcentral